ACAGUGUCUGGUGGGUAGUUUGACUGGGGCGGUCUCCUCCCAAAGCGUAACGGAGGAGCACGAAGGUUUGCUAAUCACGGUCGGACAUCGUGAGGUUAGUGCAAUGGUAUAAGCAAGCUUAACUGCGAGACGGACAAGUCGAGCAGGUGCGAAAGCAGGUCAUAGUGAUCCGGUGGUUCUGAAUGGAAGGGCCAUCGCUCAACGGAUAAAAGGUACUCCGGGGAUAACAGGCUGAUACCGCCCAAGAGUUCAUAUCGACGGCGGUGUUUGGCACCUCGAUGUCGGCUCAUCACAUCCUGGGGCUGAAGUAGGUCCCAAGGGUAUGGCUGUUCGCCAUUUAAAGUGGUACGCGAGCUGGGUUUAGAACGUCGUGAGACAGUUCGGUCCCUAUCUGCCG
This 397-nucleotide ribosomal RNA is filed under the name Streptococcus pyogenes. RNAcentral describes it as "bacterial LSU rRNA". It matches the Rfam family "Bacterial large subunit ribosomal RNA", at positions 2251 to 2647 of the family's 2925-position model. The record is from RNAcentral. Lineage: Bacteria; Bacillati; Bacillota; Bacilli; Lactobacillales; Streptococcaceae.